UAGCUGGCUGCUGGAGCGGGCGGC
This 24-nucleotide non-coding RNA is filed under the name Cricetulus griseus (Chinese hamster). Lineage: Eukaryota; Metazoa; Chordata; Mammalia; Rodentia; Cricetidae. The record is from RNAcentral.